UGAUGAAGGCCGUAAGGUUGUAAAAUCCUUUUGAAGGUGAAGAAUAACUGGGGGAGUGGAAAGCCCCUGGAAUGACGUUAGCCUGCGAAUAAGCCCCGGCUAAUUACGUGCCAGCAGCCG
RNAcentral lists this ribosomal RNA (120 nucleotides) under uncultured Spirochaeta sp. RNAcentral's name for it is "partial 16S ribosomal RNA". It matches the Rfam family "Bacterial small subunit ribosomal RNA", at positions 406 to 517 of the family's 1533-position model. The record is from RNAcentral. Lineage: Bacteria; Pseudomonadati; Spirochaetota; Spirochaetia; Spirochaetales; Spirochaetaceae.